RNAcentral lists this ribosomal RNA (403 nucleotides) under uncultured Acetobacterium sp. Its description in RNAcentral is "partial 16S ribosomal RNA". It matches the Rfam family "Bacterial small subunit ribosomal RNA", at positions 356 to 774 of the family's 1533-position model. Lineage: Bacteria; Bacillati; Bacillota; Clostridia; Eubacteriales; Eubacteriaceae. The record is from RNAcentral.
GGGGAAUAUUGCGCAAUGGGGGAAACCCUGACGCAGCAAUACCGCGUGAGUGAAGAAGGUUUUCGGAUCGUAAAGCUCUGUUAUUGGGGAAGAAAAAAAGACGGUACCCAAGAAGAAAGUCCCGGCUAACUACGUGCCAGCAGCCGCGGUAAUACGUGAGGGGACAAGCGUUGUCCGGAUUUACUGGGCGUAAAGGGCACGCAGGCGGUUUUUUAAGUCAGAUGUGAAAGGUACCGGCUCAACCGGUGACAUGCAUUUGAAACUGAAAGACUGGGUAAUUGGGAAGGAAGGGGGAAUUCUUGGUGAGGGGGUAAAUGCGUUAAAAAUUGGAGGAAAAACGGGUGGGAAGGGGGGCUGCCGGAAAAAAUCUGACGGCGGGGGUGGAAAGCGUGGGGAGCAAACA